Molecule: transfer RNA, 73 nt
Filed under: Solirubrobacterales bacterium
Lineage: Bacteria; Bacillati; Actinomycetota; Thermoleophilia; Solirubrobacterales
Also listed under: 2 other names
Description: tRNA-Phe
Rfam family: tRNA
About the family: Transfer RNA (tRNA) molecules are approximately 80 nucleotides in length. Their secondary structure includes four short double-helical elements and three loops (D, anti-codon, and T loops).
Source: RNAcentral
GGCGAGAUAGCUCAGCUGGUAGAGCACACGACUGAAAAUCGUGGUGUCCCCGGUUCGAAUCCGGGUCUCGCCA